UAGGGAAUCUUCGGCAAUGGGGGGAACCCUGACCGAGCAACGCCGCGUGAGUGAAGAAGGUUUUCGGAUCGUAAAGCUCUGUUGUUAAGGAAGAACGAGUGUGAGAAUGGAAAGUUCAUGCUGUGACGGUACUUAACCAGAAAGGGACGGCUAACUACGUGCCAGCAGCCGCGGUAAUACGUAGGUCCCGAGCGUUGUCCGGAUUUAUUGGGCGUAAAGCGAGCGCAGGCGGUUAGAAAAGUCUGAAGUGAAAGGCAGUGGCUCAACCAUUGUAGGCUUUGGAAACUGUUUAACUUGAGUGGAGAAGGGGAGAGUGGAAUUCCAUGUGUAGAGGUGAAAGGCGUAGAAAUAUGGAGGAACACCGGUGGCGAAAGCGGCUCUCUGGUCUGUAACUGACGCUGAGGCUCGAAAGCGUGGGGAGCGAACAGG
Molecule: ribosomal RNA, 429 nt
Filed under: Bacteroidota bacterium
Lineage: Bacteria; Pseudomonadati; Bacteroidota
Description: Bacteroidetes bacterium partial 16S ribosomal RNA
Rfam family: Bacterial small subunit ribosomal RNA
Source: RNAcentral